CAGCCCGCGGUAAUACGUAGGGUGCAAGCGUUAAUCGGAAUUACUGGGCGUAAAGCGUGCGCAGGCGGUUAUAUAAGACAGAUGUGAAAUCCCCGGGCUCAACCUGGGAACUGCAUUUGUGACUGUAUAGCUAGAGUACGGCAGAGGGGGAUGGAAUUCCGCGUGUAGCAGUGAAAUGCGUAGAUAUGCGGAGGAACACCGAUGGCGAAGGCAAUCCCCUGGGCCUGUACUGACGCUCAUGCACGAAAGCGUGGGGAGCAAACAGGAUUAGAUACCCGCGUAGUCCCUGUCUCUUAUACAC
Molecule: ribosomal RNA, 301 nt
Filed under: uncultured bacterium
Lineage: Bacteria
Description: partial 16S ribosomal RNA
Rfam family: Bacterial small subunit ribosomal RNA
Source: RNAcentral